CACAUGCAAGUCGAACGCGAAAGCACUUCGGUGUGAGUAGAGUGGCGGACGGGUGAGUAACGCGUGGGAAUCUACCUAGUAGUGGAGGAUGACUCGGGGAAACUCGAGCUAAUACUGCAUACGCCCUACGGGGGAAAGCGGGGGAUCUUCGGACCUCGCGCUAUUGGAUGAGCCCGCGUUAGAUUAGCUUGUUGGUGAGGUAAUGGCUCACCAAGGCGACGAUCUAUAGCUGGUCUGAGAGGAUGAUCAGCCACAUUGGGACUGAGACACGGCCCAAACUCCUACGGGAGGCAGCAGUGGGGAAUAUUGCGCAAUGGGCGAAAGCCUGACGCAGCCAUGCCGCGUGUGUGAAGAAGGCCUUCGGGUUGUAAAGCACUUUCAAUAGGGAGGAAAGGUUGUAGCUUAAUACGUUGCAACUGUGACGUUACCUAUAGAAGAAGCACCGGCUAACUCCGUGCCAGCAGCCGCGGUAAUACGGAGGGUGCGAGCGUUAAUCGGAAUUACUGGGCGUAAAGCGCGCGUAGGCGGCUUCGUCAGUCAGAUGUGAAAGCCCCGGGCUCAACCUGGGAACUGCAUUUGAUACUGCGGAGCUAGAGUAUGGUAGAGGAUAGUGGAAUUCCAGGUGUAGCGGUGAAAUGCGUAGAUAUCUGGAGGAACAUCAGUGGCGAAGGCGACUGUCUGGACCAAUACUGACGCUGAGGUGCGAAAGCGUGGGGAGCAAACAGGAUUAGAUACCCUGGUAGUCCACGCCGUAAACGAUGUCUACUAGCCGUUGGGGAACUUGAUUCUUUAGUGGCGCAGCUAACGCACUAAGUAGACCGCCUGGGGAGUACGGCCGCAAGGUUAAAACUCAAAUGAAUUGACGGGGGCCCGCACAAGCGUUGAGC
This 887-nucleotide ribosomal RNA is filed under the name uncultured bacterium. Its description in RNAcentral is "bacterial SSU rRNA". It matches the Rfam family "Bacterial small subunit ribosomal RNA", at positions 52 to 937 of the family's 1533-position model. The record is from RNAcentral.